GCGCUCUGCGCGCGCCGCAGGCUGUAGCCGGCCGGGGUCGCAGCACGCCUCCCCGCUCCGCCCCCUCGCGCGCCGCCCGGCGCCCCGCGCACGCGCGCCGCCCCCUGCUCCUUCAGCGAGGGUCUGCGGGGAGCGCGCGUCCAACGGUCAGCGCCCCUCAGUGCACAGUCCCAGCGGCCUCGCUGGGCCGGCGCCUCCCGACCAACAGGUAAUGAUGAAACUCCUGCUCUGGUCCGGGCUACCGGUGAACAGCGCCCAGCGGGCCGGGCCCCCAACCUCGCUCCUGAGCCUGAACAUCCCCCCAACCCCACCGUGAGAAUUCAGCGAAGAGUAAAAGCUGGAAAAAGUUGCGUGUCUUAGGCUAAGCAGAACAAAGUGGGGUGACGGCUCCCCGGCUAGGAACAGAGAUGCCCUUAGGGAGCCCUCUGAUGGAAGAGCUCUCCGCUUAAGAAGGUCACCACUCCCUUACACUCAGCCCCCCUCAAUCUGAUUCCCUGCUAUGCCUGCCAUCACCACUGGCCAGUUUUACCACAUGCUUCUCAAGACCCAAGGCACAAUAGGCAUAAAGUUGUCCUGAAAAGGACAAGAGGAGUGUCAGAAGUAGGAAUGGCAGUUGAAGGAGCUUCGUCUGCCAGCAGAAAGCUGAAAUGACAGGCAAGCACAAAAUAUAUUAAGGAGACAAAGCUAUGCAUGAGCGAAAUAUCAAACUUUCAUCUUCUACCCACUUUUUUUUUUUUUUUUUGCUUAAAAACAGGAAGACAGAAUGUCUUGUCAAGGGUCACCCCAGGAGGAGGAGUAAAUUCCCCAAAAAGCGGAACAUAUUUUUAUGAUUUAAUUAAUACAAUUUCUCUCAAUG
This 856-nucleotide long non-coding RNA is filed under the name Homo sapiens (human). RNAcentral's name for it is "HSALNT0405256". Lineage: Eukaryota; Metazoa; Chordata; Mammalia; Primates; Hominidae. The record is from RNAcentral.